CCUACGGGGGGCAGCAGUGAGGAAUAUUGGUCAAUGGGCGGGAGCCUGAACCAGCCAAGUCGCGUGAGGGAAGACGGUCCUAUGGAUUGUAAACCUCUUUAGGCGGGGAGCAAAGCCGGGCACGCGUGCCCGGAGGGAGAGUACCCGCAGAAUAAGCAUCGGCUAACUCCGUGCCAGCCGCCGCGGUAAUACGGAGGAUGCGAGCGUUAUCCGGAUUUAUUGGGUUUAAAGGGUGCGUAGGCGGAUUUUUAAGUCAGCGGUAAAAUGUCCGGGCUCAACCCGGGCCGGCCGUUGAAACUGGGGAUCUUGAGUGGGCGAGAAGUAUGCGGAAUGCGUGGUGUAGCGGUGAAAUGCAUAGAUAUCACGCAGAACUCCGAUUGCGAAGGCAGCAUACCGGCGCCCGACUGACGCUGAGGCACGAAAGCGUGGGGAUCGAACAGGAUUAGAUACCCUUGUAGUC
This 460-nucleotide ribosomal RNA is filed under the name uncultured bacterium. Its description in RNAcentral is "partial 16S ribosomal RNA". It matches the Rfam family "Bacterial small subunit ribosomal RNA", at positions 338 to 795 of the family's 1533-position model. The record is from RNAcentral.